Long non-coding RNA from Macaca fascicularis (crab-eating macaque), 1997 nucleotides. Lineage: Eukaryota; Metazoa; Chordata; Mammalia; Primates; Cercopithecidae. The record is from Ensembl.
UUUUUUAUUUAUUUUUUUUUAUUUCAGAAUAUUUGACUAUACAUAAGGUUUGCAUAGGGAACCCAGGCAGGAGCAGAAAAGAUAUAUCCCAGUUAAGGAUGAAUGGGAGGGUUUUCCUCCCCUUAAGAAUGCUGAAUAAACUGUGUAUUGUGUGCCUGUAUUUUGACUGCAGUUCAUCACAUUAGGUCAGGUGUGGGAUUUUCCACCUUUGGCAUCAAGUGGGCGCUCAAAUCUUUGGAUUCUGGAGAACUUCAGAUUUCAGAUUUUCAGAUUAGGAAUGCUCAACCUGUGCUAGCAACUGAUUUUUAACAUUUCCUUGGUUGGUAAUUUUUAUGGGAAGAAGAAAAUCUCAACAGAUGAAAUAAACAGUAACUAAAACUGGAUUUAUGCUAUUAUUUUUUUCAGCAAUAAGUAAAUGAAAUAAUUUUCUUUUUAAAACUGUCAAAAGUAAGACAUUUAAAACUAAAAGUGAAAUCUUUGGAGAGUUAGACUUUAUAGCUCCAUGUGAAUGCAAAUGCUUUACUAACAGUGGAAUUGGAAAUUGGAUAAGUUCCCUUGAGAUAGAAAUAGUCAAAAUGCCAAAGGAGAUUCCAAACUACUUGCUACAAAACAAAACAAAACAAAACAAAAAAACAGUCUUAGCUUUGCCUAUAAGUCGAUCUCUAGUUCUUCUCCAUGCAGGAGAUAUGUUGUAUGUGGUCUUCCAUCCCAAGGAGAAUAAUGGUUAGGUUUCUCAACUCUCAUAAAGAAUGUCAACAUCACCAUCUGCUCAUCUGGCUUUCAAAGGACGCAUAUGGGCUCAUCUUCUUGGCCCAGAUUCUCCUCUUGCUUUGGGGCUUUUCCCUUCAGUUUGGUCUUUAGUAUGUACUCCUAAAUUUGCCAAAUGCACAUUGGAGGCCACAGAAGACUUUGCUGAAGAAUAGCCCAGUAAUGGAUUGAAUUCUUAUUUAUUCAGAGGUUUCCCUGAAAAAAUUCCUCUGCAGCGUAUUCAAAUCGUAUAGCCCAAAUUAUACUCCCUGACUGUGGUAAUUUAAACGUCAUUUUAAAAUUAAGGCCUUUGUUAAUAAAUACUGUUUGCUUAAAGGUUAAAAGAUAGAAUUACACCCUUCACACCAAAUUGCAAUCUCCAUGGGUCCUUAUCUGCUCUUAUUAAUUCAAACAGAAGGUUCUGGGUGUCAUCUGUCACUUAGAGCCUGAAGUAAACCUCUAAAAGCAUACAUUUUUGUUGUUGUUUCCAUCCUACAUGGGCUUAAAGUAUGCUUUAGAAACAUACAUCACAACUGAGAUGUGGGUGGGAAUUAUGAAUAGUUAAGCAGCAGUGUAGAAAGCAAUAUGGACAGAAGAAACAAAAUAAUUUCUUAACAUAUAAAUAAAUUCAAAACCUAUUUGAAAUGCAGCAUAUUGGAAGAACAUUAGUCAGGGUCUCUAUAACUAAUUAGCUUUGCGACUUUGGGUAAGACAUAAUCUCUCUGGAUAUUUAUGUAAAGCUAGAAUUUUGUGUGAGAAAACUAAAGUUUAGAAGGACAGAAAGUAAUUACAAAGUAAAGACACUGAACACAAAUCUUGAAUUUUACCAUUAAUUGAAUGAUGGAAAAAAAUAAAGACUAUAUUAUUAACUUUUAUUUAAUUGUCUAUUUUCUCUAUAAAAUUUUCAAUCCAUGAUUUAGAGAUCAUGUUCAUCUUGAUCACCACUUUAUCUCUGGUGUCUAGCACAGUGCAGACAGACCAUUUAUUGUGAAGUAAAGACCAAAUGAGUUUUAAACAUAUUAUCUAAUACUAUAAUACUCUUAUGGUCUCAUUCUUCAGUUUUUUGCUAAUAUAACAGAUACAUUUGUAUCCUCUGUAAUAGAAAAAUAGGAAGGGAUGGUAUUGAUUGUAGUUGAAUAAUUAAGGGGAGAAAGUUAAGCCUCAAAUAAGAAAUUUCCUGAAAUUUCACCAAUGAGAAAAUGGUUAUAAAACCUUGCAUUUUACUGAAAAUAAAACUUUUUUUUAAUCAC